RNAcentral lists this ribosomal RNA (252 nucleotides) under uncultured bacterium. Its description in RNAcentral is "partial 16S ribosomal RNA". It matches the Rfam family "Bacterial small subunit ribosomal RNA", at positions 524 to 776 of the family's 1533-position model. The record is from RNAcentral.
UACAUAGGUGACAAGCGUUAUCCGGAUUUAUUGGGCGUACAGGGUGCGUAGGUGGUUCGAUAAGUUUGGGGUUAAAGCCCGGUGCUCAACACCGGUUCGCCUCGAAAACUGUCGUACUAGAAUACAGAAGAGGUAGAUGGAAUUCCAUGUGUAGCGGUGAAAUGCGUAGAUAUAUGGAGGAACACCAGUGGCGUAGGCGGUCUACUGGUCUGUUAUUGACACUGAGGCACGAAAGCGUGGGGAGCAAAUAGG